GCUUCUGCAACCUAUUUGUUUUUUACUUCUUCCUUUUCUUAAGCCAAGCAACCUGUACCAUCUUUUCUUCCUCCUUCUUCCUUUUCCCGGCGCCGUUGAAGCCUACAGUUUCAAUCAAGCGUUGCCGACCAUUUUCCACUUCUCAGGUUCCAUUUUCGGUUCCACUCUUAGUUUUUAUUCCCGGUCGCUUUUCGGUUUCGGUUUGCAUUUGGGAUGCUUCUUCCCGCAACAUGUCAAGACUCCCAAGUCGGGACGAAGAUGGUUCCCCAUGGUCUCUGACAAAGACAAUUCCUUCUGGUUUCUUGAUUUCUUU
This 313-nucleotide unclassified non-coding RNA is filed under the name Hevea brasiliensis (rubber tree). The record is from RNAcentral. Lineage: Eukaryota; Viridiplantae; Streptophyta; Magnoliopsida; Malpighiales; Euphorbiaceae.